UCCUUCUCCUUUCCUUCCUAUAUGCUUCUUCUGGCAUUCUCACAUGCUUGUCUCUGCAUCAGAAAAAAAUCCUGCAAGAAACAAGCAACUGUAUUAACAGAUGGACAGAGUCAAUAAAACACACACAAAUCGUGUCUCUGACACAUCUGUUCCCCAGCAUUAGAGUAAUUUCCUCGCUGAAGAGACCUGGGACAGCAGUGAUGGAAUGGAGGGGGGACUCUGGGUUCGCCCCUGAGACCUCUCAUCUUUCAGUGGGAAGAGAGCUCCCUUGUCUCAGUGUUUGACACGCGUCUUCCUGUGUGGCUGCCAGGACCGCUGGGGACAGGAGAGGAACAAAGCUGUCCAGAGGACUGCCCGAUUCAAUUACACACCUAGGCCACAAAGAAAACUCAGACCGUCUGCACUCACAGGCACAGUGGCCUGCACCCAACACUUUGAAUGAAGAUAUUUUUCUUGGACAUUGUUUUGCAGUUAUUCAGAUUUUUAUGGACAAUUUUUUGGUUGCAUUCUAAUAAAAUAAAAUGAUAUUG
Molecule: long non-coding RNA, 530 nt
Organism: Onychostoma macrolepis
Lineage: Eukaryota; Metazoa; Chordata; Actinopteri; Cypriniformes; Cyprinidae
Exons: 2
Source: RefSeq, a predicted model, not a curated record